AUGAUACUAGUAAAAUUGGCAUUACAUUGCUUUGUCAAGGCAAUAUUGUAGGUUAAAAUCCUACGUAUCUUU
This 72-nucleotide transfer RNA is filed under the name Megalamphodus rosaceus. Its description in RNAcentral is "tRNA-Asp". It matches the Rfam family "tRNA". From Rfam's summary of the family: Transfer RNA (tRNA) molecules are approximately 80 nucleotides in length. The record is from RNAcentral. Lineage: Eukaryota; Metazoa; Chordata; Actinopteri; Characiformes; Acestrorhamphidae. RNAcentral also lists the same sequence under 1 other name.